ACGGGUGUUGGGGAAGGGGAAAAGGGGUCAGUGUCUGUCAGACCCGGAGGCAGAACCACCCCCAGUUGAGACUCCAAAGCAGCCAGGUCAGGGGGAAGGAGAAUGUUGUUAAAACAGAGGCUGGCUGAAAAGGCAGCCAAAAGCCUGUGAGUGUGCUGGUAGGAUUCACUGCUUGAGCCAGGCUGGUCCCUCACUGGUGCUGGGUGUUCACUGGGCAACAGCACGAGUGGCUCAGAGACACUGGUGUCAUCUGCACAAAGCAGGAACAGGAGGGGGGAAGCAGGGGGUAACUGUUCCCUUUGAUACCAUCGGAAUGGGGAGGUCUGAACGCUUGCACUGUCUUCCUGAGUGGAUCAAUGAAACUGAGAUCCUUGUUAAUGUGGAAAGUUCUGGUUUUGCUAAGAAUCAGAUCAAUCAGUACUAAGAUCAGAUCAAUCAGUAGGUGAGAACUGCCUGAAGAUUAAAGUGAGGUUUAUUCUGUGGCUCUGUUUGUAUCCACACACUACAGCAGUGAUUCCCACUCAGAUCCCCUUCAACUAAUGCUUCAAGCUCAAGACAGAGACAUGUGAAAGUUGUCCAGCAAAAGAACCCCUGAUGUUCCUAAAAACUCCCAGCAGGAAUCCUUUCAGGGUGUUUUAUCAACAGCAGAAAGGGGAUUUCUCUCAACCACAGUUUCUAAGCACAGCUCAUGAUUAAGCUGUGAAUCUUUGGGGCUG
Long non-coding RNA from Neopsephotus bourkii (Bourke's parrot), 716 nucleotides. RefSeq lists it as uncharacterized. Lineage: Eukaryota; Metazoa; Chordata; Aves; Psittaciformes; Psittacidae. The transcript is spliced from 3 exons. The record is from RefSeq and is a predicted model, not a curated record.